GACAGAGGUGGCAAGCGUUGCUCGGAUUCACUGGGCUUAAAGGGCGCGUAGGUGGUCUUGUAAGUCAAAGGUGGAAUUCCACAGCUUAACUGUGGAACUGCCUUUGAUACUGCAAGGCUUGAGUCAGGUAGAGGAGGGCGGAAUUCCCGGUGUAGCGGUGAAAUGCGUAGAUAUCGGGAGGAAGGCCGGUGGCGAAGGCGGCUACCUGGACAGGUAUCGACGCUGAGGCGCGAAAGUGUGGGGAGCAAACAGG
Molecule: ribosomal RNA, 253 nt
Filed under: uncultured microorganism
Description: partial 16S ribosomal RNA
Rfam family: Bacterial small subunit ribosomal RNA
Source: RNAcentral